Non-coding RNA from Meleagris gallopavo (turkey), 3430 nucleotides. The record is from RefSeq and is a predicted model, not a curated record. Lineage: Eukaryota; Metazoa; Chordata; Aves; Galliformes; Phasianidae.
GGGUCCGUCGGGGACUCUUCGCAGCGCCUCGGCUGAAAAGCGAGCGCCUCUCCUCACCCCAGCCUGUUGGGGCUGUGGGUACCGCGCGAGUUUAGGAGAAGAAACUGUUCACAGAGUUACUAAUGAGGGAUGAAAAGUCUCUCUGCCAUGAAUGAGAAUCUGAGAUCACUUCAGCAAGAUCUGAAGAUUGGCAUUGACACAGAGAACUCUGUGUCUUCUAAUGGAGUUUAUGUGUGCAAACCACCCAGACUGUAGAAGGGUGGAAAAAAUAAAUCUCACUGCAUAUGAAGUAACUUGUUAUUUACCAAGAUUCAAAAGAAGAUUUUAUUUGCUAAAUUUGAAUGUAAUAUUUUUGCUAGGUGCACCAGAGUGAGGAAGGAAGGCAAGUAGUCCUGAAAAAUCCUAGAUUCUGAAAAACAUACUUUUAUAAUUUAGGAACUAUUUUAUGCCAGCAGUUGUGUAUUUGUAUGAAUAUAUCUACAAUGAGGGUCUUAGAUUGGCUAACUUCUGUUUACAUGAGGCUAGCAUUUUGCUAGCUGCAGAUACUUUUGGAAUUAUCUGUCUUAAUCUUUUAAAUUAUUGUCUGAGAUCACGUUAUAAAAUUAAAUGAUUAAUUUUAAAUCUGUUUUCUUUAUGAUGCAAGCAUUUCAUAGUCUUUUAGUAUGUUUCAUAUGGCUUAUCCCUAGACAUGAAUGUUAUAAAUAUAAGCAAGUGCCAUCUGGUUGUUCUAGCACCUUUCUUAUCUCCCAUGGAGUUAUUUUUAGUGCAGCCGAAAUACAGAAAAGAGUUACUGCAAAUGAUGCAUGAAAUAAGGUUUACCCACUAAUUUUCACAAACUUUGUUCUUUAGCAAAGCUGAAUGAAUACAUAAAAAAACUUGAAGCAUGGUGCUAUGUGCAUUUUGUUAAUAACAUUUUUUCCCAUUAGAGCAUCAAAGCGCUCUUGUUGCUCACCUCAACUAAACAAUUGAUCCACUGACCUUAAAAAAAGUCUGGACUCACCAUUUUUUGCUGAUUUGUAGAACACCAUAUUCAUUUGCAAACUGAUUCCCUGAGCAACACUGUGAAAAUUACUGGAAGAUGCAAGUAAAGUACAGCCUUCUGAGAUAUAACUAUUGGACAUACCAAAGUUGGAAUGGUCAUGGUUUACUGGGAGACAGCCAAGCCUUCCAUCAUGCAAACCUAGAGCUUUUGUAAGGGUGAACUGCAAUAAAUAUUAGCCCACUUCUAGUAAUAUCUUUUCUGUAUCUAAGCCUUAUGUUACACUGUGUCCCAGAUCCAUUUAAUUUGUAAAAGGAUAAAUAAAGUUUGGAGUCAUGUGUUGAGUCAGUGACACUCACCUUCCUGUCCUGUUUACUGUAUUUCUUUGCUACUAAAGCAUACCAUAAGGUCACGCUCAUCACUUAAUUUGUUACAUUCUAACUGCAUCUGCAUUCAGUGUUAUCUGUAUAGUAUAAUCUUACAAACACGCAGGUGAUUUUUUCUCCAGAUGAUGACCUGAAAGAUCCCUUCCAACUCAGACAGUUCCAUGAAUCUAUGAAUUAGUUACUUAGGAAAUCUAUGUAGAAUCAGAUAUCUAAGAAACGGCAGUGAAAGUUGCUCAUCUUUUCUGAACUAACAUUAUUAGUUGGUGGUUGAACUCUCACACUUGCCGUAUUUUUAAAUCUUCCCGUAUCUCUUCAUUUACCUUCUGGUUCUCAUCCACACAAGGAAGAACAAACAUUUCACGCUGCAUUCUGUGAAACAGUACUUCCCUUAAAUUCAGUAUGGUUCCUCUAUAUGAAUGUUUUUACUCUUUUCUGUGAUCUCUGAUCUGUCUAAUGGUCUUCUGUCUUGACACACUGCUUGCAAUGUCUGGAACAUCAUUGCUGUUUAUAAAUGGCAUUUCAAUCUCUAAUCUGUUUUCAAAUUUCUUAGUAAAAUGUGUCUAUCCAGCUUAAUCAUGCUUAAUUUUUCAGUUAGCCUUCUGCUUUUCUGUAUUAAUUUCUGUAGUUAGAUAAUUUAGCUCUGUAGGGCAUUUAAUGUGUAUUGUUUGUGUGCCAGCCCUGUAGAUAAAAGGCCAGAAAAAAAGUAGAGCAUAUUCAUUUGAGCAGUAGCAUCAUGAAUGCUAGAAGCCAGCACAUACAGGAAGAGCUUCUGGAGAGUAUUAAAUUCCUACUUAGAAACAGAGGCAAAUGUAGACCAAUUCUAGUCAUCAGUUGAAGAAAUUAUGUAAGGUAAUGUAAGGACUACUUGACCACUUCUAUCUGUGGCAAACAGGAUUACAGCUUAGUUAUCUGCUGAAAACCUUUAUCCUAUUGGCAGCUUCAGAGAUCACAUAAUUAUUUGUUCCCAUUUCAUAAACUGGAAAAUGCAUACUAGGAUACUGAUGUCCCAGAAAUGAUUUGGAAUUAAAGGACUCCAGACUGGAGUGAUGCCAGCAUAUCUGAAGUUCAGAGUUGGACCCAAAUUCUGACAAAUAGAAGAGGGUCAGCCUGAAUAGUACUUUUCACAGUUUAUUAAGUAUUACUUUCCUCUACUUCUGCAGGCUUAACAUGGAACAGGUGUGAGCACAGGGAUUUGCCUGGAUUUUUCUGCAUGAAGGAUUGGUUUCACAGUAGAUACUGUCCAAAGUCCUAACUUUUAAUGUUGCUGUCCAAAUGGAGAUUAAUGAAGGUAUUCUUUCAUGUAAUUCAUUAUCCCUGAGGUGUACAAUACUUCUAUUUCCUCUUGUCUGUCUGACAGUGAACACUAUUCUUAUUGAACUUUAUUCCACUAUCCUACACUGAUACUUAUGUAGUUGUCAUUAUCAAACUCCUUGAAUACUCUCCUCGAUGCAUCCACAAGAAUUUUUCCAUUUAAAAUAAAAACUCUUGAAACAAUUAAAUUAUUGAAAUAUUUUUGUCCAUUAAGAAUGUCACAUCAUUUUUAAAGAUCUACUGGAGAUGUUUCAUAUGUUAGGCUAUGAAUAAAAGUCUAUUAAAAAAACUCUAACAGCUGUUGUGCUAGGAGUUGUAGACACUGCAUGCUUUAACAAGUGUGAGAAUAAUUCUGUGUCAAAAAAUAAAUCUUGUGACAUAAACUAUUGCUUGCAGCAACAGAGUCUGAUGUACUUUUAACUACUAUCUUCUUCUAUUAUAAAAUUCUUAUAUUAUAAAAGGUAUUCCAGUUUAAUUUUCUGAAGAGGUAUCUUUAAGAGAUAUUUGUUACCAUUUAAUACUGUGGCUUGUUACCUGAAAUUCCUACUGAGAGCAUCCUCAACAAUCCAAACUGCUGUUCAUUUAAAAUAUUUUAUAUCUUCCAAAAUGUGUCAGUGUUCAAUUUUGUAAAGUAUUCUAAAAUCUGCUUAAAAAAUGAAUUAAAAUGAAGUCAUUGUGCUUGAAAAGCUUUGCCAUGUGUGACAAAGGAUUCUUAGCGUUAACACUGAAAUAAAACCAGACAUCAUGUAAUCUC